RNAcentral lists this ribosomal RNA (709 nucleotides) under Pseudomonas koreensis. Its description in RNAcentral is "bacterial SSU rRNA". It matches the Rfam family "Bacterial small subunit ribosomal RNA", at positions 35 to 739 of the family's 1533-position model. The record is from RNAcentral. Lineage: Bacteria; Pseudomonadati; Pseudomonadota; Gammaproteobacteria; Pseudomonadales; Pseudomonadaceae.
GCUGGCGGCAGGCCUAACACAUGCAAGUCGAGCGGAUGAAAGGAGCUUGCUCCUGGAUUCAGCGGCGGACGGGUGAGUAAUGCCUAGGAAUCUGCCUGGUAGUGGGGGACAACGUUUCGAAAGGAACGCUAAUACCGCAUACGUCCUACGGGAGAAAGCAGGGGACCUUCGGGCCUUGCGCUAUCAGAUGAGCCUAGGUCGGAUUAGCUAGUUGGUGAGGUAAUGGCUCACCAAGGCGACGAUCCGUAACUGGUCUGAGAGGAUGAUCAGUCACACUGGAACUGAGACACGGUCCAGACUCCUACGGGAGGCAGCAGUGGGGAAUAUUGGACAAUGGGCGAAAGCCUGAUCCAGCCAUGCCGCGUGUGUGAAGAAGGUCUUCGGAUUGUAAAGCACUUUAAGUUGGGAGGAAGGGUUGUAGAUUAAUACUCUGCAAUUUUGACGUUACCGACAGAAUAAGCACCGGCUAACUCUGUGCCAGCAGCCGCGGUAAUACAGAGGGUGCAAGCGUUAAUCGGAAUUACUGGGCGUAAAGCGCGCGUAGGUGGUUCGUUAAGUUGGAUGUGAAAUCCCCGGGCUCAACCUGGGAACUGCAUUCAAAACUGUCGAGCUAGAGUAUGGUAGAGGGUGGUGGAAUUUCCUGUGUAGCGGUGAAAUGCGUAGAUAUAGGAAGGAACACCAGUGGCGAAGGCGACCACCUGGACNNAUA